RNAcentral lists this ribosomal RNA (116 nucleotides) under Salmonella enterica. The record is from RNAcentral. Lineage: Bacteria; Pseudomonadati; Pseudomonadota; Gammaproteobacteria; Enterobacterales; Enterobacteriaceae.
YCUGGCGGCASUAGCGCGGUGGUCCCACCUGACCCCAUGCCGAACUCAGAAGUGAAACGCCGUAGCGCCGAUGGUAGUGUGGGGUCUCCCCAUGCGAGAGUAGGGAACUGCCAGAC